Non-coding RNA from Pseudonaja textilis, 86 nucleotides. Lineage: Eukaryota; Metazoa; Chordata; Lepidosauria; Squamata; Elapidae. The record is from RefSeq and is a predicted model, not a curated record.
CCAUUUAUAUCAAGCAUCAUUAACUUAAUUUUGUCUUCCAUGGUUUUAUUUAUGAUAGGGUCUAGUUGAUCUUAUCAUUUUUAACU